GACCUCAAAUCAGGUAGGAUUACCCGCUGAACUUAAGCAUA
RNAcentral lists this ribosomal RNA (41 nucleotides) under Gloeophyllum sepiarium. Its description in RNAcentral is "partial 28S large subunit ribosomal RNA". Lineage: Eukaryota; Fungi; Basidiomycota; Agaricomycetes; Gloeophyllales; Gloeophyllaceae. The record is from RNAcentral.